GCGUCCUCAGAGAAGUGGCAGAAAAAUAAAAGUAAAAAUAAAAAUAAAAAAAUAAUCCGGCGGAAACAGUUCGCAUUCCCCCGCUUCCUUAUGAAACUCCCCUAAUCCUUCUCUUCUCUAGUUUCUACAGCACUCGCGAGGAAGCUCUCGAAUUUAUUGUGUUUCGGGCGGUCGCCGGUGGCUUCUUCGUGAAGAAAAGUUUUGAAAGAGUCGCUAUAGAAACUUCUUCGCCUUCUUCUACGGCGUUGUCCCGGCCAAAUCAGGAGUCACGACGGGAGGUCGCCGGUUGCCUUGAAGCCUUGGCUCAGAUUAGGAGUCACGACGGGAGCUCGACGGUCGGUUCGUGAAGAAGAUUUUGCAAUUUUAACUAUUCGGUAUCAAGCUGUUGGUUUAUGCUGGUGAAUAUGACUUCAGAUGCAACUGGCUUGUUGAAGCAAUGACAAAUGGGUAAUGUGUACAGUCAGUUUAGAGAGUAUAGUCAGUUUAGAGAGGAAGAGCAUGCUCCUAAAAGAUGGAAUGCAGUUCACUUAUUUUCCUUUUCAGUGUGAUGCUACUAUGGGAAAGAAGGUUGGCAAGAACCUUAAUGUGAAGCCUGCAACAUGCUCAAUGUGAAGCCAAACGUGUAAGAUUAUUCUAUAUCAGGACUACAUAGGUCAACUAAGGCUUCGUUUGGGACGGUUUUCUUCCUGCUUCUUAAAACAUCUUUGUAGUACAAAAAUUAAAAUUUUUUUUAUUAAAAAAAUUGUUUUAAGAAUCAUUAAAAAAAGCCAUAUCAAACGAAGCCGAAGUAUCUGUUAAGAAUCUUUUUAAAAUUUACGAAGAAUAGGAGCUUCUUCAGCAGCUAGAAUAAUGUUAAGUUUUUUGUACCCAUCUUGCUCUUGGAAGAAAUCUUCAAUGCUUGAAGCUUAUAAGUUUGCUUUGUGUUACUAUUCUAAUCACUCAUGUAAAUUAUCAAUGAGCAAUGUAUAUGAACACAUAUGUUGAAUUAAUCAAUGUUGAUUUAUAAUA
This is a long non-coding RNA of Dendrobium catenatum, 1008 nucleotides long. RefSeq lists it as uncharacterized. The transcript is spliced from 4 exons. The record is from RefSeq and is a predicted model, not a curated record. NCBI's taxonomy places the organism in Eukaryota, Viridiplantae, Streptophyta, Magnoliopsida, Asparagales, Orchidaceae.